AUAUCUGACUAUCUUCAGAGAUUUUGAGUCAAUCCUUAUACCUAAUCAGUCUUUGAAUCAUACGCUAUUAUAACUUAUCAUACAUCAGAAGGCUGAUCUUUUUUCGAGCCCCACGUGAUGGGCUAAACCGAUCCGUAGGUCGCACUGAGCUCCGCUUGUCCGACCUGUCGCUGACUUCAGAUGGUUCACUCUGGGGGAUCUUCUAGCCUUCUUCCUAGCCACCGACCUCUACCACAGUCAACCAAUAGAUAAACUGGUCCAGAUGUACCGGCCGAUCCUUUUGGCCAAUAGCAUCCGACGAUGAGGACAUUCAUAAGCUCUUGGACUUUGGUGCACUGGACAAUGACCAUCCAUUUAAAAUAUGGGUUAAGACACGCCAAUUAUGAUUUUUGUUUGUAUGAGUCAGAUCAGGGUACGCCCUUGUACAUCAUUAUCCCACCUGCGACCCAUGCACUAGAUAGACUCACAUCACAUGCUCCCCUGAUUGACUACAUGCCACAUAGCUCUGUGUUAUGGGAUAGUCGGAAUGAC
Molecule: long non-coding RNA, 531 nt
Filed under: Elaeis guineensis (African oil palm)
Lineage: Eukaryota; Viridiplantae; Streptophyta; Magnoliopsida; Arecales; Arecaceae
Description: long non-coding RNA (EGUI_LNC015238)
Source: RNAcentral